This 233-nucleotide ribosomal RNA is filed under the name uncultured bacterium. RNAcentral describes it as "partial 16S ribosomal RNA". It matches the Rfam family "Bacterial small subunit ribosomal RNA", at positions 100 to 334 of the family's 1533-position model. The record is from RNAcentral.
CGGGACGGGUGAGUAAUGUCUGGGAAACUGCCUGAUGGAGGGGGAUAACUACUGGAAACGGUAGCUAAUACCGCAUAACGUCGCAAGACCAAAGAGGGGGACUUUCGGGCCUCUUGCCAUCGGAUGUGCCCAGAUGGGAUUAGCUAGUAGGUGGGGUAACGGCUCACCUAGGCGACGAUCCCUAGCUGGUCUGAGAGGAUGACCAGCCACACUGGAACUGAGACACGGUCCAG